AGGAGGGUAGCAUCGAUGUAGGGGUACAAAUGGAUCGGGUCGAGUCGGGUUUUGAGUGAUCCCGACCCGACCUAGUUUCUUGUUCGAAUUCUAAUUUUGGAUCUAGAUCCGAUCCAAUUAAAUAUCGAGUCGAAUCAGGUCAGAUCUACGGCUAUAAUUUUUGACCCAACGAGUCAUUUGGGUCGGUCAAAUUCAUGUAUAACCUAGAUCCAACCCAAAAAAUUCUGAUUCGGGUCAUGUCGGAUCCUGGUCAGAGUCCAAAAUUAAAGGGGGGAAAAGGACGUACUCACAUCAGAAAUUUUAAGUUUUUGAAACCAACGCAAGCCGCAGCUCAAAAGAUCAGAGCUUUUAAUAAGAAAUCUGGAGAAAAGCCGAUUGAUACCCCCACUGAAGUUUUAAAAUUUUAACACAAGCCCAGUUCAA
Molecule: long non-coding RNA, 423 nt
Filed under: Phoenix dactylifera (date palm)
Lineage: Eukaryota; Viridiplantae; Streptophyta; Magnoliopsida; Arecales; Arecaceae
Description: long non-coding RNA (PDAC_LNC009517)
Source: RNAcentral